GCCAUCUCUCCCACUUGUAUAAUUUCUUUGAGCGUAGCUUUCAUGUCGACCUCCCCAACGGGCCGGGGACCCUAGCUCGUCUCCUUUGUGUGACCAAAGGGGCCACCGCCCUUUCAGCCACUGGAACAGAUUACAACCCCUAUGGUAUGGACGUUUACAGAUAGAUUUGAUGCUUACUUCCCCAUAGGACAAUAGGAGAGCCAUGAAUGGUAGAUGUCUUGGUACUCCCCUCCCAUGGAAUGACCAACAGGAUGCUGAUGGGACCUCGAUCAUCAGCUUCUGAGAGGAGAUAAGGUUGUUGGUAGAUGAUGGUAUCACUCCAAUGGCCAGUUACUAAGUGUUUUUUUUUUGCGAAGAGGUCAGUUACUCAGUUAUGUUCACAUGACGAAGGCCCUCAUAAUACCUUCUAACCUAGUUAACGAAUCGAUCACAUUUACUCCUACCAUCGAUGCCCAAAUUAGACUCGCUAAAUAAGGAAGGCUAAUAGAUCCGACAAUUAUUGCAACCGUGCAUGCAUAAUUAAUUCUACUCGGUAAUCCAUCCGAUGAAAAAAAGUUAUUACGGGUAUUUUGGACUUUUAGCAUUGCUACUAUCUUAUUUAAAAUUUUCUAAACGAAUAGUCUUUGUGGGAUGGAGGGAAUUUUCUAAGCGAUCAGUUUUUGUGGGACGGAGGGAGUAGCUUACUUUGGAGUAAAAGCACAGGAGUGACUAAUUACUUCGCCAGGAGUACUUAACUGUUGAUGAAUUAUUAAAUCAAAGAGAUGGUGUAUGCAUGCCAUGUAAGGACGAUGAUUGUUUAAUUUUCAGUCCUUGUCAUGCUACUUGUUUUUAAUGUUCUAAGAAAGGACCAAGAUGUAUCACUAAUUAGCAUCUCUCAAUUUACAAUUAGUGGUAACCUAGGCACAUCUCCUGUGUACAUAAAAAGGAAACAUAAAAAUGAUAUCAUUACUAAAAUUAGUAUGUUUGAGAGGUAGUACUAAUACCUUGUUAUCUUAACACAAAAUCUAUAUGGGACCGUUAUGUUAUGUUUUUGGAUAAGCAAAUAAUUUACUCCUCCAUCCACAAUCCUGAAAGUACAAAUUAUUUACUACCCUCCCAUCAAUGUGGGACAAAAAAGAAAUUCGCGGAUACAAGUGGCACUUUGGAAGCAUGCCAUUGCCUGCCGCGCUGUGGCGUCACAAAGAUUUGAUUCCUGCUUGCUCACAAUAACUAAGACAAGAUUAUGUUAAUUAUGCGAGUGCUUUAGGGAUCAUCCUACCUGCGCUCGUGUGUACCCCACAGAGCCCACGCCAAGGGGCAGGUGGAGAUUAGCGUAGCCAUCCAUAGCAACAGAGAGGCGGUCUAAAGAAUGGUGUAGGCAUAUGUGGGCCUGGCAACUCGUGGAAUACUUGGUGAACAAUCAUUUCUAUCU
This 1411-nucleotide long non-coding RNA is filed under the name Setaria italica (foxtail millet). RNAcentral describes it as "long non-coding RNA (SITA_LNC005193)". The record is from RNAcentral. Lineage: Eukaryota; Viridiplantae; Streptophyta; Magnoliopsida; Poales; Poaceae.